CAGCAACAUUUAAAAUAAACAGACACAAUGAGAACAAUGUCAACAGAACCCAGCGUUUUCUAGGUGUGUGUCAGGGACUGACCAGGCGCACUAAGCGGAAAGCAAGGACCACGUUUUCAGGACGAGGCUCUGUGCUGCUUCCAGAUUUGGAGCGCAGCUGGAAGAUGCCAUCUGCACCACAGGCAGUCCUGCAUGGGGGACAUUCGGCCGGCUGGUAUGCACAACAGGACGGCAGAUGUGGUUUCCGGGAAACCUGGGCCCAGAAUGCCCCCCGGCACGUCUCCUGGCAGCAGAUAUUAUUUUUCCAAACAUUGAACUACUUGGGGGCAUAUCUGAACACCGAACUUUUCCAAAGCUCCUGAAGGCCGGCAGAUUUCCUCGCCUGUGUUUCUGUGAAAGCCGUUGUGGGAUCCCCGGGAGCGUGCAGGGGGGAACCGGAAGCAGAGAUGACAGAGGUGUGGGCCGCGCCUGGUGGGAAAGGGUCCAGGCAGAUCAGCGGUAUCUCGGGACGUAGGAAGCCUUUCUUUUGGGGCUCUUGGGCUCUGAGGGUGUGGAAUCCAGGAAGAAAGCCGAACUCGGGGGCAGGGGCACCCUCGGGGCACCCGGUCGCUGACCAAGGCUCCGUCAAACAGAAUCGGGAAAUGCUGUCCGGCUGAGGCACCGCCAGACCCUUAGCUUGUCUGAUCUGCCCGCUCUGGCCUGCACAGUGCACUGCUCCUCUCUUA
This 725-nucleotide long non-coding RNA is filed under the name Chinchilla lanigera (long-tailed chinchilla). RNAcentral's name for it is "lncRNA (ENSCLAG00000025960.1)". Lineage: Eukaryota; Metazoa; Chordata; Mammalia; Rodentia; Chinchillidae. The record is from RNAcentral.